UACGUAGGUCCCGAGCGUUGUCCGGAUUUAUUGGGCGUAGAGCGAGCGCAGGUGGUUUAUUAAGUCUGGUGUAAAAGGCAGUGGCUCAACCAUUGUAUGCAUUGGAAACUGGUAGACUUGAGUGCAGAAGAGGAGAGUGGAAUUCCAUGUGUAGCGGUGAAAUGCGUAGAUAUAUGGAGGAACACCGGUGGCGAAAGCGGCUCUCUGGCCUGUAACUGACACUGAGGCUCGAAAGCGUGGGGAGCAAACAGG
Molecule: ribosomal RNA, 252 nt
Filed under: uncultured bacterium
Lineage: Bacteria
Description: partial 16S ribosomal RNA
Rfam family: Bacterial small subunit ribosomal RNA
Source: RNAcentral